Molecule: non-coding RNA, 824 nt
Organism: Pelobates cultripes (western spadefoot toad)
Lineage: Eukaryota; Metazoa; Chordata; Amphibia; Anura; Pelobatidae
Source: the annotation of a GenBank genome assembly
CUUGCUGGUGACCUGUCUCUGUUUCUCAACAUCGGGAUACCAGAGAAAAAAAAAAGUGGAACAGGGCUGUCAAAGUGUGUUGUGCAUGUGUGGAGCUGCUCCCUGUGAUGAUGUAUGUGUUUGAAGGCUGCUUUUGAGAUUGCAUGUGUAUAGGUCAGACUAUUUGUGUUAUUUUGUGUGUGUAAAGGGGUCUGUUUGUUGCGUACUAUGUGUGGUCACUAGCCACACAUAGUGUGUGUGUGUAUAUGUGUGUGUCAGGGGUGCUAUGUGUGUAGUGUGUUUGUGUGAGUGUGGGUGGUGUAGUGUCUUAGUGCAAGGGCUGUAGUGUGUAUAUAAGGCUAUAGAGCAGUGGUUCCCAAACAGGGGUUGACGUAGUAAAGGAGUUUAAGCAUGCGUGGGAUAGGCAUAAGGCUAUCCUAACUAUAAGAUAAGGCCAGGGACUAAUGAAAGUAUUUAGAAAAUUGGGCAGACUAGAUGGGCCGAAUGGUUCUUAUCUGCCGUCACAUUCUAUGUUUCUAUGACGUGCAAACAGGGGUGCCGCGGAAUGUUUCCCCGGUGCUAUGAUUAGCACUUUAAGACCGCGACCAGAUCCCUGUAAUGUCGGCCGGGAGGAUGUGACAGCCUGUCCCUUCCGCCCAGCAUCCUGCAGGGAGACAGCGCGGGAGGAGGCAGCCGCAAAGUGAGGGGAGAGAAACAUGAAGAGCUCCAGAGUCCAGACCUCUCACUCCCACAGCAGCCAGCAGGACUCCAAGCCACCCUCCUGGCACAUAAGGUAAGCAAACACACCCCUGUAUUAAAAAACACAAUAACUAUAUACAAGCACC